GAUGAACGCUAGCGGCAGGCCUAAUACAUGCAAGUCGAACGGUGGUAGCAAUACCAUAGUGGCGCACGGGUGCGUAACACGUAUGCAACCUACCUAUUAUUGGGGGAUAGCCUUUGGAAACGGAGAUUAAUACCGCAUAAUACGAUUGACUGGCAUCGGUUGAUUGUUAAAGCUUUGGCGAUAAUAGAUGGGCAUGCGUCCAAUUAGUUAGUUGGUUAGGUAACGGCUGACCAAGACGAUGAUUGGUAGGGGAUCUGAGAGGAUAAUCACCCACACGGGCACUGAGAUACGAGCCAGACUCCUACGGGAGGCAGCAGUAGGGAAUAUUGGGCAAUGGGCGGAAACCUGACCCAGCCAUGCCGCGUGCAGGAAGAAGGCGUUAUGCGUUGUAAACUGCUUUUUUAUAGGAAGAAGGAACCCUUGCGAGGGUAGGUGACGGUACUAUAAGAAUAAGCACCGGCUAACUCCGUGCCAGCAGCCGCCGCCG
RNAcentral lists this ribosomal RNA (487 nucleotides) under uncultured bacterium. RNAcentral describes it as "partial 16S ribosomal RNA". It matches the Rfam family "Bacterial small subunit ribosomal RNA", at positions 28 to 523 of the family's 1533-position model. The record is from RNAcentral.